This is a long non-coding RNA of Megalops cyprinoides (Indo-Pacific tarpon), 252 nucleotides long. RefSeq lists it as uncharacterized. The transcript has 3 exons. The record is from RefSeq and is a predicted model, not a curated record. NCBI's taxonomy places the organism in Eukaryota, Metazoa, Chordata, Actinopteri, Elopiformes, Megalopidae.
AGCUCUUUAACCUGAUGGGUCCUGAUAUGUCUGUUGAAGCAAUCCUUCUCUUCAUGCUUGUAUGGGCUACAGGUGUACUGGGAGAGACAUCACCAUGGCAAACGAGCAACAUCUCCAUUGACUCAGACGCAGCUCAUCUACCUUGGGACAGGAUCAUUAAUACAGUGGAGACAGACAGAGCGGUCAAUGUGAAGAGGGCUGUGACCAUGCAUGAUGGACACAAGAACCUCCCAGUCAAAGCUCUGGACUCCA